Molecule: long non-coding RNA, 808 nt
Organism: Mastomys coucha (southern multimammate mouse)
Lineage: Eukaryota; Metazoa; Chordata; Mammalia; Rodentia; Muridae
Exons: 4
Source: RefSeq, a predicted model, not a curated record
ACUCCUGGCAGGGGUGGUGGUAUAGCGUCCCAGGCAGUGUCGCAGAGCCGGGGAGGGGAAGGGCAGAGCCUGAGCUCCAGUCCUCCUUCUCCCUCCCUGGCCCUCGGUGGUUGCUAAGCAGUUUCUAUGGCAGCAGCAUCCUCAGACUCAACUUUCACCCUCAUUUAGAGCCAAUUAAGGUAAAAUAGUGAGGGGCGGGAGCGGAGUGGCAACGUAACUGGGAGGCAGGGAAGCACUUGGAGGCUGUGAGCAAAGCCUUACUCUGUCAGACGCACAGGCACAGACACCCAGACGCAGCUUCAGUCUUCUUGCCUCGCUGCAGCCUGCUGAGCUGGCUGAGCCUGCAGAGCAGCCGCACUGAAAACCUCAGGACCCUUCCCAGCAUCGGAGAUCGGAGAUCCGCAGGUGUGCCUUUCCCACUCUCUGCUCCAGCCUGGCCUGCUGCCCCAGUCCCUGACAUCCCGUCAGGCCGAUUCUCUGACUGCUUGGCGCCUGUGCUUAUUUACUUUCUUACUAUCAACAUUUGAUUGGAAGAAAGGGAAAGUUUAAAAAAAUGCCCAUCGCACAGUUGCUGGAACUAUGGAAGAAGAUCGAGGUGGAACCCAUGGAGACAGAGACCACCGAAGAGGAACUCAGCCUGGACGUUGAGCCCACCCCAGAAGAUACCACAGAAGAAGGCAAAGGAGACACAACCCCCUCAGCUGAGACGCAGCCAGCCUCCUCGUCUUCUGCAGAGUCUGAUGAAGCAAACUGUGAUGUGCUUUUUGGAAGAGUAAGACAUAAAACUGAAAACUUCUGACAUUCUAGG